Long non-coding RNA from Pygocentrus nattereri (red-bellied piranha), 1434 nucleotides. RefSeq lists it as uncharacterized. NCBI's taxonomy places the organism in Eukaryota, Metazoa, Chordata, Actinopteri, Characiformes, Serrasalmidae. The transcript has 3 exons. The record is from RefSeq and is a predicted model, not a curated record.
AAAUGACAGCUCAGCUAAAACAGACUGAAAUCUGGCCUAGAAUCACUGUUUCAUGUAGUCUUUUACACCUGGAGUAUGUGAAGGUUACUCGUUACUGCUGAUUUCCACCACAGGUCUAGGUGAACUUGUGGGUCUUUACAGUCUUUAAAUGCCUGAAACUCUUCCCACACUCUGAGCAAUAAUGUGGUUUUACUCCUGUGCGAGUGCGCUGGUGGAUUUUAAGUGUAGCCCUGGUGCAGCGUUUCCCGUUUUUUUGCGAAUCAGGCAGGUAUAUGGGCAUCCGUAUCAGUAGCAUUGUGGUGUGGCUAAGCUAGGCACAACAGCGUUUGGUGGCCGCGGUUGCAGCAUCGGGCUGGCUUGAUUAAGAGACCGUGGUUUUAAGUGAGGGAUCGGCACAAACGAGGUGCCUCGGUUACUGGUGGUGUCGCGUUGGGAGCCGAGCCGAGCCGAGCCGAGCCGAGCCGUCGCUGUCCGCUUCACCAUAAACGUCUCGCCCCCGCUUGACGCUGGUUGCUGAUUUAAGCGCAGUCCUACAGUGGUUCAGGUCAUAUCUUACAACAUAUCAGUGGCUGGAGACACCAAAACCACACGAGAAAUCUACAACUUCCUCCAUCUCCACCAACAUUUCAUCUCAUCUGAACCUCCCACCAAUUAUGAACAAGCUGGUUUCAGCUGGGAUCAGGCUGUAGCCAUCUCUGUCAGCCCUUCUACCUUCGGUGAAAUAUUGGCCCAGCUUCUCCUCCACACUCAACUACUGCCACAGGGACCCAACAGCCCUCCUGCCCCAUCACAGUCACCAGUCACAGAUAAACUAUUAAACAUAGCUUCCUCAACACCUGCACCACCUUAAAGAAAGAGGCAAACUCUUCAACCACCAGAAAGGCAGCUUUGCUGUCUACCUCAUUGUCAACAGGAGCUCCACUCACCCUCCUCUGCUGAAAGGGAAAAGGUCACAUCAUUUCCAAGUAAUCCGGCAAACUGAUAUUUUUCACCUCAGUGCUGCUACAGUGAUGUCAGUAGUACGUGUUUUCAAAACAAGCUCGGACCCUGUGCUCCAGAAAUCUGUUCAUUUCGGUGCUUAGGAUCCCACCCUUCAGACCCUUCCUCACCCGAGAGGCUGCCCAGUUGCUAGUGCAGUCUCUUGUCAUCUCAAGGCUCGACUUAUGCAACUCGCUCUUGGCUGGUCUUCUCAUGCAGGCCAUCAACGCUACCUACUUGAUGGCAAAGGUGACGUGAAUAUUAUUGAAAAUCUGUGGUGUGAUUCAAAGUGGGCUGUCCAUGCUCGGAAACCAUCAAACCCGACUGAACUGGAGAUGUUUUGUAAAGAAGAAUGGUCCAAAAUACCUUAAACCAGAAUCCAGACUUUUUCUGUUGGGGUGCCCAAACUUAUGCACCUGCCUAAUUUUGUUUAAAUAAUUAUUGCACACUUUCUGU